AACGGGUGNGUAACGCGUGAGGAACCUGCCUCAAAGAGGGGGACGAACAGUUGGAAACGACUGCUAAUACCGCAUAAGCCCACGGGUCGGCAUCGACCAGAGGGAAAAGGAGCAAUCCGCUUUGAGAUGGCCUCGCGUCCGAUUAGCUAGUUGGUGAGGUAAUGGCCCACCAAGGCAACGAUCGGUAGCCGGACUGAGAGGUUGAACGGCCACAUUGGGACUGAGACACGGCCCAGACUCCUACGGGAGGCAGCAUG
This 257-nucleotide ribosomal RNA is filed under the name uncultured bacterium. RNAcentral's name for it is "partial 16S ribosomal RNA". It matches the Rfam family "Bacterial small subunit ribosomal RNA", at positions 101 to 353 of the family's 1533-position model. The record is from RNAcentral.